AGUGAACGCUGGCGGUAGGCCUAACACAUGCAAGUCGAACGGCAGCACAGUAAGAGCUUGCUCUUACGGGUGGCGAGUGGCGGACGGGUGAGGAAUACAUCGGAAUCUACUUUUUCGUGGGGGAUAACGUAGGGAAACUUACGCUAAUACCGCAUACGACCUACGGGUGAAAGCAGGGGAUCUUCGGACCUUGCGCGGUUGAAUGAGCCGAUGUCGGAUUAGCUAGUUGGCGGGGUAAAGGCCCACCAAGGCGACGAUCCGUAGCUGGUCUGAGAGGAUGAUCAGCCACACUGGAACUGAGACACGGUCCAGACUCCUACGGGAGGCAGCAGUGGGGAAUAUUGGACAAUGGGCGCAAGCCUGAUCCAGCCAAACCGCGUGGGUGAAGAAGGCCUUCGGGUUGUAAAGCCCUUUUGUUGGGAAAGAAAAGCGGCAGGUUAAUACCCCGCUGUUCUGACGGUACCCAAAGAAUAAGCACCGGCUAACUUCGUG
RNAcentral lists this ribosomal RNA (492 nucleotides) under uncultured bacterium. RNAcentral describes it as "partial 16S ribosomal RNA". It matches the Rfam family "Bacterial small subunit ribosomal RNA", at positions 29 to 507 of the family's 1533-position model. The record is from RNAcentral.